This 190-nucleotide ribosomal RNA is filed under the name Funneliformis mosseae. Lineage: Eukaryota; Fungi; Glomeromycota; Glomeromycetes; Glomerales; Glomeraceae. The record is from RNAcentral.
CAGUCAUACCAACGGGAAAUCAACCUAUUGAGCUUGGUCUCGUGGGUUUUGAAGAGUUUCAAAGCCUUCGGAUUCGCGGGAUUGGGGAUCUCUUGGUGUACUUUUUCGUACGGUUAGUCAACAUCGGUUUUGAAUGUCAUAAAUAACUAGAGGAUGUAGCUUCGAUCUCGUAUCGAAGUGUUAUAGACUC